Molecule: non-coding RNA, 216 nt
Filed under: Vagococcus fluvialis
Lineage: Bacteria; Bacillati; Bacillota; Bacilli; Lactobacillales; Enterococcaceae
Description: T-box sequence
Rfam family: T-box leader
About the family: Uncharged tRNA acts as the effector for transcription antitermination of genes in the T-box leader family. T-boxes are found upstream of many aminoacyl-tRNA synthetase genes and some amino acid biosynthetic genes usually in Gram-positive bacteria. The anticodon of a specific tRNA base pairs to a specifier sequence within the T-box motif, and the NCCA acceptor tail of the tRNA base pairs to a conserved bulge in the T-box antiterminator hairpin.
Source: RNAcentral
AUAAAUACAUUGAAAAGAAAAGUAGGUCAGUUGAUUGAUUUAGAGAGCUCGUGAUUGGUGAAAACGAGAGAAUUAACUGAUUGAAGUGCCUCUUUGAGUAGUUUUGGUGAAUCAAGUAGCUAAAAACGAGUGAUAAUCGUUACCUUAUCAAAAGGUAGAAAGAAAGUAAGUUUCUUUUUACGAAUAAAAGUGGAACCACGUGAAAACGUCUUUUAG